This 245-nucleotide long non-coding RNA is filed under the name Brassica napus (rape). RNAcentral's name for it is "long non-coding RNA (BNAP_LNC017527)". Lineage: Eukaryota; Viridiplantae; Streptophyta; Magnoliopsida; Brassicales; Brassicaceae. The record is from RNAcentral.
GAUAAAGGGAUGGAAUGGUUUAUGGAUAGAUGAUUGAUGAUGGAAGAUGGAUCGAUGAUGUUGGAUAGGUGAUGAUUGACUCUCUCAAUCCGUGGGUUUGAUUGAAUCUCUCAAUCUGGAAUAACACUGGCUGUUGAAUCACACAAACAACGUAUGCUAGAUGAAUCAAUAGAACACAAGAAUCACUCAAGUAUCAUAAGGACAGAUUUCUAUUCAAAGACUCUCUUUGAUAAAAAUAAACAAAC